CAGUGGGGAAUUUUCCGCAAUGGGCGAAAGCGUUACGGAGCAAUGCCGCGUGGAGGUGGAAGGCCUACGGGUCGUCAACUUCUUUUCUCGGAGAAGAAACAAUGACGGUAUCUGAGGAAUAAGCAUCGGCUAACUCUGUGCCAG
RNAcentral lists this ribosomal RNA (144 nucleotides) under uncultured bacterium. RNAcentral describes it as "partial 16S rRNA". It matches the Rfam family "Bacterial small subunit ribosomal RNA", at positions 352 to 511 of the family's 1533-position model. The record is from RNAcentral.